GCGCCCGUAGCUCAACUGGAAAGAGCACAGGGUUGCGGACCCUGAGGUUGUGGGUUCAAGUCCCACCGGGCGCG
Molecule: transfer RNA, 74 nt
Filed under: Pseudomonadota bacterium
Lineage: Bacteria; Pseudomonadati; Pseudomonadota
Also listed under: 1 other name
Description: tRNA-Arg
Rfam family: tRNA
About the family: Transfer RNA (tRNA) molecules are approximately 80 nucleotides in length. Their secondary structure includes four short double-helical elements and three loops (D, anti-codon, and T loops).
Source: RNAcentral